Long non-coding RNA from Acanthochromis polyacanthus (spiny chromis), 3247 nucleotides. RefSeq lists it as uncharacterized. The transcript has 3 exons. NCBI's taxonomy places the organism in Eukaryota, Metazoa, Chordata, Actinopteri, Pomacentridae. The record is from RefSeq and is a predicted model, not a curated record.
UCUAAUAACACUAUCAUCUCUUUUUCCUCUUCAAGGAAACAGUUCCAUCACAAAUUAAAUUUCACAAAUAUGAGAACAUCAGUUAAAGGGCUAAUCUCCAAAACUAUUCUUUACAACAUCACAACGUCCUUUUUUGCAAUAUCAAAUAUCAAGCAAAUUAGUUUUUACAGAAAUCUAAUUCUCAUGAAUAAGGAAUACUUAUUGCACUGUUGUCUGGACGUUUGUUAUUCACAGUAUAACAUAACUUGCUAAUGAAAAUUUAAAAAUGAGUAACAAGCAUACGUCUGAAUGACAGUGAUCUGGAGAAGUUUGUUUGUUCAUCACUGUAAAAAAAAAAACAUCCUCUCAGCUCUCUAUCGUAACUAUCAGGCAGCGAUACUCCUUCCUGUUCAGUGCUGAAGUUAUUGAUCUGCAUAAGCAGCACAUGGCUAAUUGAAUAUUCAUGAGAUAAGCACGGUCGAGCCGGUUAGCAUUCUAAAGGCUAUCCAGGCUAGCAGCGGUGAAGGCGUAAAGCUGAUGGAGGGAUAAAAAAACAAAGGGACAGCACAAAACUGCCAACACACGGAGGACAACACCUAACUAUUACUGGACCACAGGACAACACCUAACUAUUACUGGACCGGAGGAGCCAUUUUUCACGGCUGGAUGUUUAAGUUUAAGAUGAACAGCGGCUGCAGCUAAAUUCAUUGGCUUAUGAAGAUCAUAAGAUCGUCAAUGGUGUAUUGACUGUGGAAUAGCAGCUAUGAGUAUAACGCCUGACCGACCACUGCGACCACCACCACACGCCAUUGCCGUGGCGGGUGUGGCCGGCCCACUCCACUGGGCGUGCUGCAGGUGCCCCGGCUGCCCACAACAGCCGGCUGACACGUCACACACGGGCUGCCGGCGUGACGCUUCUAAGGAAGGCGAUGGUGCUCACUGUCAAGCAAGCUUUCAUCCUGGUGAAGUUUGAGAAGUCUCAUGGCGUUAAUGACACCCUGGACACAGAGCUCGUCCCGAAUUCCAACCACAACGAGGAGGAGGAGACUCACAUCCUCAUUGUGGAGGGCUUCCUGCUUUACACCUACAGGCUGUAGAUCGACGUGCUACAGCAACGUUACUUUAUUUCCAUCUCAUAUGAAGAAUGAAAAAAGAGGAGGUGCUCUAGGAAGUCCACGGUGCCAGACCCCCCUGGCCUGUUCAAUGGACACGUCUGGACCAUGGACCUGCAACACAAGAACAUGUGCUCACUAUGAAAGAUUAUUGAGGGCAGCUUUUUGAGAUUUCUUUGCAGAACACUAUGAUGUUUGCUGAGCUGUGCACAAUUAAAUGACUUAAGAAUAUGGAGUAUUUUUACUGUUUGUUAUUGUUCACAGGUUUACUAUUAAAUGUACAGAGUGCUAAUUACUGUAUUUUAAAAUUUAAAUUACUGCACAGAACAUUUCAGAUUUUAUCACAGAUCAAGGGUACAGAUUAUUGUUGUUUACUGUGUAUUGGGUAGUACUCAUUUUGAUUUAGACUGAUUAGGAUACAGAACCUUAUGUUUAUGGUUUACAGCUGAGAACUAGUUGAUAAAAGUACAGAAUAUUAUUUCUUAUUUUAGGUGACAAUUGUCAGUAAAUGGACAAGGUUGUAUAUAGUGCUGUUCUUGCACUAUAUUUGUCACUUAAUUGCCCUCAAGAUACAGUCGUUGAGCUUACCAGUUUUACAUAACAGGCAGAUGCUGCAGCUAAUGAUGCUGUAAUUCAUAUAAACGAGGAAACAAGUCCAUCAUAAUUUGAAUGUAAACAGUCCAAAAUGAAAAGGUCAUAUACAGCUUUCCUAUUGGGUUAAAGAGCCAAAAAACAUGAAAAAUACUUUGUAGGUAGCAGGUUUCAUUUUUUUCUUAUAACUUUUUGGUGGCCCCCCAAAAUAUCUGUUGUACCCCCCUGUGCUGCCCUGCUAAAAUUAAUCUGGAUCCGCCCCUGGAUUUGCAUCCCUAAAAAGUAGGGAUGUCCGAUAUUAUCGCCCCCGAUAUUGGCAUAAAAAUGUAGUAUCGGUCAGUAUCAUUAUCGUUCUUUUUGCCUGUCAUGAAAACCGCUAAAAUAAUGCCUGGAUUAUGGACUCAUAGAGGGAGGGAGAGUGUGAACUGUUGUUUGACACAAUUAAAAAAAUAAUAAUCUGGCAUAAAUAUGGCAUUUUUUCCAAGACUUAAGUUGAAGUAGUUUUAUUUUGCACAGACAAUGUUUACAUUUUGAAAGCCUCGUUGCAUUUGAGAAUGCAUCACAAUAAAAUUAGGCAUGAUGUGUUAAUUCCACGAUAUAUGUGAUGUUACCUACAAUUAGUUAACCCUCCUGUUGUUCUCAUUUACAGGGACCAAAAAAUAUUGUUUCCUUGUCUGAAAAAAAUCCAAGAAUUCAGCAAAAAUUCCCAAAAUUGCUGAAAAUUUACAAAACCUUCAGGAAGAAAAUUUCUUAAAAGUUUCCCUUAAAAGUUUCAUUUUAAAAUAAUCCCCCAAAUUUGGCAAGAAAAUUCUUGUAAAUAUUUUCAAAAAACGAGUAAAUCUUCCAAAAGCAAAUCAUUUAAAUAUCUAAAGUGAUUACAUAUAUAUAUAUCAGUUAAACUAUUUCUUUAAGAACAUUCACACAAAAAAAAUCAACCAAAAUCCAUAGACUGUGUACAGUCUAUGGCAGAAACCAAAGGGACAUCACAGUAGCCACGUCCAGCUAAAACGGCUGGAUUUUGGUUGAUUUUUUUGUGAAUGUUAUUCAGAAACAUUUCUAAUAUUUUUUUCCAGCAAAAAUGUUUCGAAAAUGUGGACAUUGGAAGUUUCAUUGUGAAAAUAUUUUUCCUCCCCACAAUUUCAAACUUUAAAACGGGUCAAUUUUGACCCGCAGGACAAAUUUUGACACGGCAUAUCGGUUAUCGGCAAAAAGGCCAAUAUUGGACAUCCAUGCUAAAAAGCGAUUGCAAAUGGUGCUGAGAAAGUUUAAAAGACGUUGGAAACCAAGUAAGCUACACAAAAAACAUUUUGCACCAUCUUUAUACAAUCUAAGUGGCAAAGAAACCCAAAAUAAUGAUUUGAUUGAUGUGCUUUUGUGUACUUUUCAAAGGAAUCCACAAAGUCUAGAAUGACUUUUCAGACAGACGUAGUUUUUAAACAGCAUUUAUUUAGCUUUCUCCAUACAAUACAUUUAAUGUACAACAGCACAUACUGUAUUUUGAAAUAACUCUCAGUAUAAAAUAGGGCUUCUACAAUCAAGGUACAGUCAUAAAAUGCUCUGAGGGA